ACCAUCAGUCUAAUUUAACUCCUCAUUUAAUUGUCCAUUGAAGAGUGAGUUCCCAGAAAGAGAAAACAAAAUUAUACAAUACUAAACCCUUUCCAUAUCUAUCUAUUGAUGUUCAAGGUUAAUGCACACAGAUUAAAAUUAUAUAUUAUUUGGACUACACUAUUCUUAUUUAAAUCUCCAGUAUUUGUCAUUAAAUGCAUUAUAGGUUUCUAUGUUUUUU
Molecule: long non-coding RNA, 220 nt
Filed under: Trifolium pratense (red clover)
Lineage: Eukaryota; Viridiplantae; Streptophyta; Magnoliopsida; Fabales; Fabaceae
Description: long non-coding RNA (TPRA_LNC009796)
Source: RNAcentral